CCGUCUAGCUCAGUUGGU
This 18-nucleotide non-coding RNA is filed under the name Arabidopsis thaliana (thale cress). Lineage: Eukaryota; Viridiplantae; Streptophyta; Magnoliopsida; Brassicales; Brassicaceae. The record is from RNAcentral.